Molecule: RNA transcript, 2326 nt
Organism: Nelumbo nucifera (sacred lotus)
Lineage: Eukaryota; Viridiplantae; Streptophyta; Magnoliopsida; Proteales; Nelumbonaceae
Gene name: protein RETICULATA-RELATED 6, chloroplastic-like
Source: RefSeq, a predicted model, not a curated record
CGCCGUUCUCUAUCAAAUGAGCGAGAGGCUCUGCUACUCUCCCUCUUCCUCUCUCUCUCUCUCUCUCCAGGCUGGUCAUUAGAGAGACGGUCCUCGUUCAGUCGCUCUGCACUCUCUCUUCAGUUUCAGAGAAUUUCUCUCUCACUUGUUAUCAUGAAAGCUGAACAAGAAAAGGCCGCCUGAAAAGAAGCAAAAGAUAGAAAAGAUGUCUCACACCGUAUUUCAAACCGCCCAGAUUAUGCUUCUGAACUCUCAGAUUACCAACAAAACCCUCUCAAAUUCGCCAUCUCCUCAUUCCCACCCUUCUCUCUUUGUUCCAUGCCGAACCCCAUCUCCCUCUGGCUCCUUUGGAAAACCACGGAUGGCGGUUUUGGAGAUUAAAUCUUCUGCUUUGGUGGAGUCGGACCCCGGAGCUCACCUUGAGCGCUGCUUCAAAAUCUCACCGGAUUCCGAUGUGGGCUCCUCUUCUUCCUCGACUUCAGCGUCUUCUUCUUCUAUGGUUGCACCUGUUAUGAAAGGUCAAUAUGGUGCUUUCGGAGCUGUGACUCUCGAGAAGUCGAAGCUGGAUUUGUCCUCGAAGCAAACGAAAUCUAGCCCUGAGACUGCAAUUGGAGGAGGGGGUGGAGACAUUGGCAAGAAAAUUAAUAAUGGUGGCGGUGAUGGUGGUGAUGAUGGUGGUGAUGAUGAUGAUUACAUUGGUGACUUUGAUGAUGGAGAUGAAGGAGAUGAGGGUGGAUUGUUUAGGAUGCGGCUUGUCUUUGAAGAGCUUUUUGAUCGAAAAUUUGUAGAUGCAGUUUUGCAUGAGUGGCAUAAAACGAUGAUGGAUUUGCCUGCUGGACUCCGUCAAGCAUAUGAAAUGGGUUUGGUGAGUUCCGCUCAAAUGGUGAGGUUCCUCACAAUCAAUGCAAGGCCAACUACUGCUAGAUUUAUUUCUCGAGCUCUUCCAGGAGGAGUUUCUAGGGAAUUCAUUGGGAGGAUGAUUGCAGAUCCAGCCUUCUUGUAUAAGCUUCUUUUAGAGCAAGCUACUACAAUUGGUUGUUCUGUUUGGUGGGAGCUGAAGAAUCGAAAAGAAAGGAUAAAGCAGGAAUGGGAUCUGGCACUUCUUAAUGUGCUAACAGUAUCAGCAUGCAAUGCUAUUGUUGUUUGGUCUCUUGCUCCUUGCCGUUCGUAUGGGAAUACUUUUCGGUUUGACUUGCAAAAUACACUGCAGAAGCUUCCAAACAACAUUUUUGAGAAAAGCUAUCCCCUCCGAGAAUUUGACUUGCAAAAGAGAAUUCAUUCUUUCUUCUACAAGGCUGCAGAGUUAUGUAUGCUUGGUUUAACUGCUGGAGCAGCCCAGGGUGCUUUGUCAAAACUUUUUGCUAGUAAGAAGGAAGGAAGGUUAUCUGUGACAAUUCCAACUGUGAGUACCAAUGCUCUUGGUUAUGGGGCUUUCUUGGGACUUUAUGCAAACUUACGGUACCAGCUAUUAUGUGGAAUUGACAGAGCAACAAUAAACUAUUUUGAUGUUAUUGGAGUAGCACUGUUCUUUAGCACAACAUUGAGGAUUCUGAAUGUUCAAAUUGGAGAGACAUCAAAGUUGGCUUGGCUUGGAGUAGAGGCAGAUCCACUGGUUCAGUCAGACAACCUGUUGAAGGCAUACAACAGACCAUCUGAGGCUGUUGCAAAUCCUUCUUCAAAGUGGUUCAUUUCAAAGAAUGCUGUUAUUUCUGGGCUAGGACUCCUAGGCAUAAAGCAGGGGAAGGGUGAUUUUGUUGCUGAAGGGGACGCUUCUCCACCACCCAAGAGAAAGAGAAUUGUCAGGAAGAAAGUCAAUGCAAGUUCAGCUUAGUAAACUCUCUUCAUGACAUCAAAGACCAAUUUUGUACCCCGAGGAACAUCCAAUGAACAGGAAGUACUGCAGUUGAUGGAAGUAAAAGCAACACACCAGUUGUGUGGAUGGUGAUUUUUUUGCUGCCAAAGCAGAAGAUGCUUGAAUUGCGUGCUUUUGACAAUUGUAAGGAGAGGCAUAUAGAGAGGGUUCUGCUUAGUGCAGUGUGACAGUUUGCCAGGAGUAAAUUACUUUUCCCUCUUUGCCUUAAUAUUUGCAGAAUUAUUGGCUCCUAUGUGCUUAUUGGACAAGAUAUCUAGCUGCUGUAAGACUUCCAACAGAAAAAAAUAAAAUAAAAUAGAAAUCUUAUCCAAUGGGCAUCUUUUGUUUGUUUUUUUGGGUAGUGAUUUUCUUGCUAUGGACUUGUUCUUUUUCCAGCAGUUUCUUAUCUGAUUUUGGUUGAGAGGUGUACUAUGUGUCUGUUUAAUCUGUCAUGUACUCGUGUGGUUCCAUUCA